This 1452-nucleotide ribosomal RNA is filed under the name Triticum aestivum (bread wheat). RNAcentral's name for it is "partial small subunit ribosomal RNA". The record is from RNAcentral. Lineage: Eukaryota; Viridiplantae; Streptophyta; Magnoliopsida; Poales; Poaceae.
AUGGACCGCGCCGACGGGCCGCCGCCGCCACGCUCCGGCGACCGCGCGGCACAAGACCAGGAUGACACUGCCCAAAGUGCACAGGGGCAGAAUUCGCGACGGCCAAACCUUUCUUUGCAAAUACCAACAAGGACCUUGGAUAACCAUAUACCUACUUCAACGAGGAUUAAUAUAUCCGCCAGCCCCAGUUCGACAAGAGCCGGACUGCCACCAAGGCCUAACUCAGCUAGACCAAAGUCAUCUAUCAAGCAGCAGAGUUUCAGGUUAAGGAAUUCAGCACAGGAAGGUGACCGGACAAUCCUCCUACUUCCUGGGACGGCGUCGGAAGGGUCGCUGGAUAAUCCAACUCAACCAGGAUCUUUCUCUUUCAGAAAGGUCAUUAACUCAUUAUCGGCAAAACGUACCUAUUCUUUGCCAGUCACACCUGUUGGAACCUCUGAUAAAGCUUCUCCGGGAAUUCAGAUAGUCGACCACCCAACUACAUCUAAACAAGAAGUUCAAGCACAAAUUAGGCGAUCACUUUCAGUACCAGGAAAUCGUAAAAACAGGAGUUUGAGGAGAGCAGAUUCACUGGGUGUCAUCCGUGUGAUUCCAGCAACUCCGCGACCUGUUCCAGCUGAUACAGUUGUACCAACUGAUGUCAUUGAAGAAACAGCUGACGGUCCUGAAGAUGGAGGUGAAGAUAUUCCUGAAGAAGAGGCAGUCUGCAGAAUUUGUUUUGUUGAACUCAACGAAGGCGGAGAGACACUUAAAAUGGAGUGCAGCUGCAAAGGAGAGCUUGCCCUCGCGCACCAAGAUUGUGCUGUCAAAUGGUUUAGCAUCAAGGGUAACAAGAUAUGUGAUGUCUGCAGACAAGAAGUUAAGAAUCUGCCUGUGACUCUGAUGAGAAUUCCGACUCAAACCGUUACCAGGCGACUAGCAAACGGUGCUCAGCAAAGAGCAGCUCAACAGUACAGAUUUUGGCAGGACAUUCCAAUUUUAGUGAUGGUUAGCAUGCUUGCCUACUUCUGUUUCUUGGAACAACUUCUGGUUACUGAUUUGCAGUCACGUGCACUGGCAAUUUCAUUGCCUUUCUCAUGUGUGUUGGGCCUCCUUUCUUCCAUGAUAGCAUCCACUAUGGUGACCAAGAGCUACCUAUGGGCCUAUGCAUCCUUCCAGUUUGCUAUCGUGAUCCUGUUUGCUCAUAUCUUUUACAAUGUGCUAAAAGUGAAUGCAGUCCUUGCGGUCCUACUCUCAUCAUUCACCGGGUUCGGGAUCGCUAUCAGUACGAACUCACUGCUAGUGGAGGGCAUGAGGUGGAGAUCUAGGAGGAGCCAGCGGUUAGCUCAGACGCAGCCUCAGCCUGCGAACGAAGGGCAGCAUCCAGAGUCUGGGAGUAACGCCGUGAGCGAGAACAGCGGUGAUAGGCAGCAACAAGGGCAACCUCCACAAUCCGGUGUGCACAUCGUCUGA